AAUUAGAAUAAAUAAUUAUUUAAUUUGAAAUCAAUGUCUCAAAAUUCAUUGAAGAGAUUGGUUGGAAAUUUAGGAGUGUUUUUUUGUUGUUUCUUUGUUUCUUUUUCUUCUCAGAAAUCAUCUUGGUCUUAAGGUUGAAAAUAUUUUUGCAAUCUAUUUUUGUUUUGGCUAUAUGUACGGUAUAUUUUGUUUUUUAAAGUUUUUGUUUUUUAUUUUUAUACUAUGAAACAUCUCAAUCUUUCAUUAUAGCAUCUGGAUAUAUUUUCUUUUAUUUCUUCUAAAAAUAUUUGUUGUUUAAUUAUUUUACAUUUACUUGCUUUCUUGUACCGACUCCAAUCAGAUUUUUAUCUCCAUCAACAAGCAGAAGCAUUCAACAGAGUUGAUCACUCCCUCAUUUUUGAAACAACUUCUUUACUUGACUUCUAGGCUAUCACCUUGCUUCUAUAGCCCUCCAACUGGGCUCCCACUUUUCCACUCCUCUCUCUGAAAUCGGUCCUCAAUAAAGCACCCAGAAUUAUUUCUGUAAAGCA
RNAcentral lists this long non-coding RNA (530 nucleotides) under Ursus maritimus (polar bear). RNAcentral describes it as "lncRNA (ENSUMAG00000015273.1)". Lineage: Eukaryota; Metazoa; Chordata; Mammalia; Carnivora; Ursidae. The record is from RNAcentral.